This is a long non-coding RNA of Episyrphus balteatus (marmalade hoverfly), 985 nucleotides long. RefSeq lists it as uncharacterized. The transcript has 3 exons. NCBI's taxonomy places the organism in Eukaryota, Metazoa, Arthropoda, Insecta, Diptera, Syrphidae. The record is from RefSeq and is a predicted model, not a curated record.
AAUUUUUGUAUAUGAAAAACUUACAAAAAAAUUACGCCAUUAAAAAGUUUAAUAUUUUUUCUAACGAAAAGGUAAAAAAUCCAUUUUUGUUAUAUAAAUUUUAUACCAUCUGAAAGCCUAUUGUUUCCGCUGUAAAUAUUCAUAUCAACCAUGUCCGCACGACAUCUACGAAAAGAGCUAGAAUUUUUUGAACCCAAUCAGUUUUCAUCAAAAAAAAGCAAAAAUAUCAAUCUUUUUUAUCUUCUCAAGCCCUUAAGUAAAUUUUUUAAAAUUAAAAUAAAAAAACUAGACCGACUACUGCACUCUUGUACCAUUAUUUUAUUUGUUUGAAAUUUUUUUCUAUUUGCUAAAUGCUUGUUCAGCAUUCAACUCGGUCUGCUCAGAGAGCGAUAACUUAUUCUGAGUCCAUCGAUCGCGCUCUGAACAAGUUCAGAAUACGUUCAGAACGAAAAAAGAAAUUGAAGCUCUAAAUGUUGAGAGGUAAAAAAGAAAUACAAUUUUUAGAAAAAAAAAGUCGCUAUAAAGAAAUUGGUGAAAAGGUCGCUUGGAAUAAAAAGUCGUCGCUUGGUCGCUAAGGCAUAAAAAAGGGCUUCAUGUAACUCAGCGAAAUUCGUUUCGUCUUACGUUUAUUUCUUAUUGCAGUUUGAGAGCGGUUUGUAGGUUUUACAUACUCUCAAACUGUAAUUGAAAUAUAAAAUGUCAAAAUGAUAAUUUGAUUUUUUUUUAUUCUGUGUUGUGUUUCGUACCAGUAAAUUACCAAGAAUUUGGAAAAUGUCUGUUACGCCGAGCCAACUAAAAACUUUAAUUAAUUUCAUGGAGGAGCACCCCGAUUUGGAAAAGGGGUAUAAACCGAUUUCGCUGGAAGGGAAAGCCCAUUUGAACAAAUUAUGGGCUCAACUGGCUGAGAUGCCUAAUGCCCAUGGGUUGCCCACCAAAAAUGUUAACGCAUGGCGAAAGGUGUGGGCCGAUUACAAAUACCGCACAG